This 254-nucleotide ribosomal RNA is filed under the name uncultured bacterium. RNAcentral describes it as "partial 16S ribosomal RNA". It matches the Rfam family "Bacterial small subunit ribosomal RNA", at positions 524 to 776 of the family's 1533-position model. The record is from RNAcentral.
UACGUAGGGGGCGAGCGUUGUCCGGAUUUAUUGGGCGUAAAGAGCUCGUAGGCGGUUUGGUAAGUCGGGUGUGAAAUCUCCACGCUCAACGUGGAGGGGCCACUCGAUACUGCCAUGACUCGAGUCCGGUAGAGGAGUGUGGAAUUCCCGGUGUAGCGGUGAAAUGCGCAGAUAUCGUGAGGAACACCAGAGGCGAAGGCGGUUACCUGGACAGUUACUGACGCUCAGGCACGAAAGCAUGGGGAGCAAAAGGG